GGGCGAAUAGCUCAGGUGGCUAGAGCGCCUGCCUUACAAGCAGGAGGUCGGGGGUUCAAGUCCCUCUUCGCCCACCA
This 77-nucleotide transfer RNA is filed under the name Candidatus Fermentibacterota bacterium. RNAcentral's name for it is "tRNA-Val". It matches the Rfam family "tRNA". From Rfam's summary of the family: Transfer RNA (tRNA) molecules are approximately 80 nucleotides in length. Their secondary structure includes four short double-helical elements and three loops (D, anti-codon, and T loops). Lineage: Bacteria; Pseudomonadati; Candidatus Fermentibacterota. The record is from RNAcentral.